RNAcentral lists this ribosomal RNA (253 nucleotides) under uncultured bacterium. Its description in RNAcentral is "partial 16S ribosomal RNA". It matches the Rfam family "Bacterial small subunit ribosomal RNA", at positions 524 to 776 of the family's 1533-position model. The record is from RNAcentral.
UACGUAGGGACCAAGCGUUGUUCGGAUUUACUGGGCGUAAAGGGCGCGUAGGCGGCGCGGUAAGUCACUUGUGAAAUCUCUGAGCUUAACUCAGAACGGCCAAGUGAUACUGCAGUGCUAGAGUGUGGAAGGGGCAAUCGGAAUUCUUGGUGUAGCGGUGAAAUGCGUAGAUAUCGGAAGGAACACCAGUGGCGAAGGCGGCGAUCUGGGAAGAUACUGACGCUGAGGUGCGAAAGCGUGGGGAGCAAACAGG